This 253-nucleotide ribosomal RNA is filed under the name uncultured bacterium. RNAcentral describes it as "partial 16S ribosomal RNA". It matches the Rfam family "Bacterial small subunit ribosomal RNA", at positions 524 to 776 of the family's 1533-position model. The record is from RNAcentral.
UACGGAGGGUGCAAGCGUUAAUCGGAAUUACUGGGCGUAAAGCGCGCGUAGGCGGCUCGGUCAGUCGGGUGUGAAAUCCCUGGGCCCAACCUGGGAACUGCAUUCGAUACUGCCGAGCUAGAGUGUGGGAGAGGGUGGUGGAAUUCCCGGUGUAGCGGUGAAAUGCGUAGAUAUCGGGAGGAACAUCAGUGGCGAAGGCGACCGCCUGGCCCAACACUGACGCUGAGGUGCGAAAGCGUGGGUAGCAAACAGG